GACGAACGCUGGCGGCGUGCUUAACACAUGCAAGUCGAACGGAAAGGCCCUGCUUUUGUCGGGUGCUCGCGUCGCGAACGGGUGAGUAACACGUGAGUAACCUGCCCUGUACUUUGUGAUAACUUCAGAAAACUGGUGCUAAUACCGGAUAGGAGCUCCUGCUGCAUGGGGGGGGUUGGAAAGUUUCGGCGGUUGGGGAUGUACUCGGGGGUUAUCAGCUUGUUGGUGGGGUAGUGGCUUACCAAGGCAUUGACGGCUAGCCGGCCUGAGAGGGUGAACGGGCUCAUUGGGACUGAGGUAGGGAGCAGAGUCCUACGGGAGACAGCGGUGGGAAAUAUUGCACAGUGGGCGGAAGCCUGAGGAAGAAAUCCCGCGAGCGGGAUGAAGGCCUUCGGGUGGUAAACCGCUUUCGCCUGUGACGAAGCGGGAGUGACGGUAAUGGGUAAAUAAGCACCGGCUAACUACGUG
RNAcentral lists this ribosomal RNA (468 nucleotides) under uncultured bacterium. RNAcentral describes it as "partial 16S ribosomal RNA". It matches the Rfam family "Bacterial small subunit ribosomal RNA", at positions 28 to 507 of the family's 1533-position model. The record is from RNAcentral.